Molecule: long non-coding RNA, 2366 nt
Organism: Homo sapiens (human)
Lineage: Eukaryota; Metazoa; Chordata; Mammalia; Primates; Hominidae
Exons: 4
Source: RefSeq, a predicted model, not a curated record
UUUCUUUGAGUUUCCUCAACACAGCUAUUUUGAAUUCUCUGUCUGAAAACUCACAUAUGUCUCUCUCUCCAGGAUUGGCCCCUGGUGCCUUAUUUCAUUUGGUAAGGUCAUGUUUUUCUGUAUGGACUUGAUGCCUGUGGCUGUUCAUUGGUGUCUGAUCUUUGAAGAGUUAUGCAUUUAUCACAGUCUUCACAGUCUGGGCUUGUUUGUGUCCAUCCUUCCUGGGAACGCUUUCUACAUAUUCAAAGGGACCUGGGGGUUGAGAUCUGAGUUUUUGGUCACUGCAAGCCAUAUCUGCAUUACAGAGCACCCCAAGCCUAGUAACGUUGUGGUUCUUGAAGACUCGUAGAGGUACCACUUUGGUGGUCUCGGAUAAGAUAUGGAAGAAUUCUCUGGAUUACCAGGUGGAGACUUUUGUUCUCUUCUUUUACUUUCUCCUGAACAAAAGAGUCUCUCUUUCUUUGCUGAGGUACAUGAGGCUAUGGGAAGGGUUACACAAGCACCCCUGUGGCCAUCACCACUGAGAUUGGGCUGGGUGAGACCUGAAUCCAGCACAGCACUGGGUCUCUCCCAAGGCCUGCUAUAACUACUACCUGGUCACCACCUAUGUUCGCUCAAGGCCCUAGAGCCUUAAAGCCAGCAGGUGGUGAAGCCAGCCAGUCUUGUGACCUUCACUUCAGAGCAGUGAGUUCCCUCAUGUCCUUGGCUGGUCCAGAGAUACCGUCUGGAAGUCAGGGACUGAAGUUGGAAAACUUAAAAAUCUACCUGCUAAGGCUAAGCUAGCACUCAAACCACAAUACAAAGUCCUUCCCACUUUCCCCAGGCAAAAUAGUCUCUCCCUGUGCCCACCACCACACAGGCUCACAGGGAGUACUCUCAGGCUACCAGUAAUGUUCACUUAUGGCCUAAGGACUCUUCAGUCAGCUUGUGGUGAAUGCUGUCAGGCUUGGGACUCACCCUUCAGGGCAAGAGGCUCCCCUCUGGCCCAGGGCAGGCUCAGAAAUCCCAUCCAAGAGCCAAAUCCUGGAAUCAGGGGCUCCAAGACCUUGCUUGGUGAUCUUCCCUACUGUGACCAAGCUUGUACCUAAGCUGCAAUCAAAAUCCUUUUUUAUUAUUAUGCCUCCUUUUCUCAGGCAGAAGGAGUCUCUUCUCAUAUCCACCAUGGCUGUGAAUAUGCUGGGUCACACCUGAAGCUAGCAAAUCUCAGAGUCUCACCCAAGGCCCAUGAUAGGGAAAGGGGAAGGCUUGAUCUGGGAAAGCUGGAGAAAGAAGACUGAAGGAUGGACUGGAUGACAUUGAUGCUAUUGCCUCAUGACAAAAUCUGAUGCAAGAGGAAGGCUACUAAGAAGCCAGCUCUACUUUUGACCAUCAGUGAUGAAAGAAUGAACCUUAAAGGGGAGGAGGACUAACAAUUCUUCAGGUGAGAAGAGGGAAGAAAGUUAGGAUGAAUCUGGAAGUGAGAUUUCAAGAUGGGGCAAGAAGAACUUCUGUUCACCUGUAAAAUAGAAAAAAAGAUAUUUUCAGUCUCACCAUUAUUUUCCAAGUGAGUUUUUUUUUUUCCUAUUACUAAACUGUACAAGGGCAGGAGCUGUGCCAUUUUAGUCUGUGAUCCUCCAAAGACUGUUAUAAUGGCUCAGCAGACACUCAAUAAAUAUUUGUUGAAUAAUCAGAGGCAAGUAAGACAUAAUAAACACAAAAACGUAGCAAAGCAAAUGCCAGGAGGAACUGGAGUUUAGUAGAAUAUUUAAUGAAAGUGCAAAAGACUUGCAAAAGUGCUUGGGAAUUAGGGAAGGAUAAAGAGGGUGUGACCCAAGCCUGGGGUUGCAAAUGACAUAUAGACAGCUUGACAUUUCUUCUCCCUUAUAAUUCAUUAAUCUCCAACAGGGAUCAUUUUCUAAAAAAAAAAUAUUGUUAUAGAUUCAAAGGGUAAAGUGGAAGUUUGUUACAUGGAUAGAUGACAAUGUAGUGGUUGGGUUUGGGCUUCUAUUGUACCCAUCACCCGAAUAGUGAAUAUUGUACCCAAAUAGGUUACUUUUCAACCCUCCCCCCAUCCCACUCUCCCCACUUUUGGAGUCUCCAAUGUCAAUUGUUUCCUUCUUUGUGUCCAUGUGUACCCAUUCUUUAGCUCUUACUUAUGAGUGAAAAGAUGAAGUAUUUGAUUUUCUGUUUAUGAGUUUUUUCAUUAGGAUAAUGGUCUCAAGCUCCAUUUUCCAUGUUGCUGCAAAACAUAGGAUUUCAUUCUUUUUAUGGCCGUGUAAUAUUCCAUGGUGUAUAUAUACCACAUUUUUUAUCUAAUCAUCCUUUAUAGGACACUGAAAUUAGUUCCAUAUCUUUGCUAUUGUGAAUAGCGUUGUGACAAACAUGAA